GGGCGAUUAGCUCAACGGCAGAGCUACAGACUCUUAAUCUGUUGGUUCGGGGUUCAAAUCCCCGAUCGCUCA
This 72-nucleotide transfer RNA is filed under the name Geitlerinema sp. CS-897. Its description in RNAcentral is "tRNA-Lys". It matches the Rfam family "tRNA". Rfam says of the family: Transfer RNA (tRNA) molecules are approximately 80 nucleotides in length. Their secondary structure includes four short double-helical elements and three loops (D, anti-codon, and T loops). The record is from RNAcentral. Lineage: Bacteria; Bacillati; Cyanobacteriota; Cyanophyceae; Geitlerinematales; Geitlerinemataceae.